CUCCCCAGAAGGAAUCCAGGUAAAAAAGGCACACCUGUAACUCCAGUAAUGGGGAGGCAGAAGCAGGAGGAU
RNAcentral lists this microRNA precursor (72 nucleotides) under Nannospalax galili (Upper Galilee mountains blind mole rat). Its description in RNAcentral is "miRNA (ENSNGAG00000007135.1)". Lineage: Eukaryota; Metazoa; Chordata; Mammalia; Rodentia; Spalacidae. The record is from RNAcentral.